UUGACAAAACAAGUUCUGUCUCUAUUAUUUAAUUAAAAUUUAACUUUUAAGUGAAAAGGCUUAAAUAAAUCAAAGGGACGAUAAGACCCUAAAAGCUUUAUAUUUGUAUUUUAUUUUAAAAAAUUAAUUUAAUUAUAAAAUUAAAAUAACUUUAAUUAGUUGGGGCGACGUGUAAAUAAUUUUUAUAACUUUAUUUAUUUAAAACAUAAAUAUAUGAAAUUUGUUGAUCUUUAUUAAAAAUUUUAAGUAAAGUUACUUUAGGGAUAACAGCGUUAUUUUUUCUGAGAGUUCUUAUCGAAGAAAAAGAUUGCGACCUCGAUGUUGAAUUAAAAAUUCUGUUUGGUGCAGUAGCUAAAUAAGAAGGUCUGUUCGACCUUUAAAUUUUUACACGAUUU
This 395-nucleotide ribosomal RNA is filed under the name Pyrhila pisum. Its description in RNAcentral is "partial 16S ribosomal RNA". The stretch from base 263 to 395 matches the Rfam family "Bacterial large subunit ribosomal RNA", at positions 2473 to 2606 of the family's 2925-position model. Lineage: Eukaryota; Metazoa; Arthropoda; Malacostraca; Decapoda; Leucosiidae. The record is from RNAcentral.